This 774-nucleotide ribosomal RNA is filed under the name uncultured euglenid. RNAcentral's name for it is "bacterial SSU rRNA". It matches the Rfam family "Bacterial small subunit ribosomal RNA", at positions 54 to 874 of the family's 1533-position model. Lineage: Eukaryota; Euglenozoa. The record is from RNAcentral.
CAUGCAAGUUGAACGGUUCCUGAAAAUUGGGACAGUGACGAACGGGUGAGUAAUUUACAAGAAUCGACACCUAGGAGGUGGAUAACACUUGGAAACGAGUGCUAAUACACCAUAAAGCUAUUAAGUUAAAGAUACCAAUCGCCUAGAUACGAGCUUGUAACUGAUUAGCUUGUUGGUGAGGUAAUGGCUCACCAAGGCUUUUAUCAGUAGCUGGUCUUAGAGGAUGUACAGCCACACUGGAAAUGAGAUAUGAACAGACUCCUACGGGAGGCAGCAGUGAGGAAUUUUCCGCAAUGAGUGAAAGCUUGACGGAGCAAUGCCGCGUGGAGGAUGAAGGCCUUAGGGUUGUAAUCUCCUUUUCUCAUUGAAGAAUUUUUGACGGUAUUUGAGGAAUAAGCAUCGGCUAACUUCGUGCCAGCAGCCGCGGUAAUACGAGGGAUGCAAGCGUUAUCCGGAAUUAUUGGGCGUAAAGAGUUUGUAGGUGGUCAAGUGUGUUUAAUGUUAAAUGUUAAAGCUCAACUUUAAACCUGCAUUAAAAACUGCUUGUCUUGAGUAUGGUAGGGGUAAAGGGAAUUCCCAGUGUAGCGGCGAAAUGCGUAGAUAUUGGGAAGAACACUAAACAGCGAAGGCACUUUACUAGGCUAAUACUGACACUGAGAAACGAAAGGUAAGGUAGCGAAACGGAUUAGAUACCCGUGUAGUCUUACCCGUAAACUAUGGACACUAAAUGGUACUUAAUGUGCUGUUGUAGCUAACGCGUUAAGUGUCCCGCCU